CAAUAGGAACUACUCUGCACAAAAUAAUAAUAAAUAAAAUAUAAAGUUACAUUAAAUAAAUGAAUCUACGCAUUUCAUUAAAGAAAAGAAAACUAAGAAAAAAGUAGAACCCAGUUACCUGGCUCCGUCAGAAGAUGCAAAAUAACGAAGAGGAACUUGCCAAAAAUAGAACUUCUGAAUCAGCUCAAUUAUGAUUCUCGGUUGAAGUAAGAAGUGAGAGAAAAGUAAAAAUGGAAAACCUGAAAUCCAAAACCAACAAGAAUAGCUAUAAUUAAUAUAAAAUCCUUGAUCUACAAUCAAUCAGUAAAAAAAAGAGCAAACCCUAGAUAAAAUAAACGAAAAUGUAUAAUUUUUUAAUUUCUAACCGUAAUGUUAGAGCUAGAAGAAAAAGGACCGAGAAUGGGAAGAGCACGAGAUCGAGAUCUAACAGAGUAGCGAUGACAAAAAGGAAAGCUUUCCUUUACUUCAAAAGAAUUUUGACGUAUUGUCUUAUGUUUGGAGAGAGAAAAUAGAAAUAGAAAAGAAAAUACAAAAGAAAGGGGAAGAACUGUGAAACUAAAGAAGUUUGGAAGCUAAAGUUUACUGUGUGCUUGGAAUUUGGAUAUACAAAUACUUAUUUUUCUAAAAUUUCAUUCAACUGGAAGGAAAUACAAAACUUGAACCCAUGUAUCUCUUAACAUAGAUGCCAAU
This 690-nucleotide long non-coding RNA is filed under the name Gossypium barbadense (sea-island cotton). Its description in RNAcentral is "long non-coding RNA (GBAR_LNC004799)". Lineage: Eukaryota; Viridiplantae; Streptophyta; Magnoliopsida; Malvales; Malvaceae. The record is from RNAcentral.